Molecule: ribosomal RNA, 135 nt
Filed under: uncultured Anaerotruncus sp.
Lineage: Bacteria; Bacillati; Bacillota; Clostridia; Eubacteriales; Oscillospiraceae
Description: partial 16S ribosomal RNA
Rfam family: Bacterial small subunit ribosomal RNA
Source: RNAcentral
UGGGGGAUAUUGCACAAUGGAGGAAACUCUGAUGCAGCGACGCCGCGUGAGGGAAGACGGUCUUCGGACUGUAAACCUCCGUCUUUGGGGAAGAAAAUGACGGUACCCAAAGAGGAAGCUCCGGCUAACUACGUG